Molecule: ribosomal RNA, 254 nt
Filed under: uncultured bacterium
Lineage: Bacteria
Description: partial 16S ribosomal RNA
Rfam family: Bacterial small subunit ribosomal RNA
Source: RNAcentral
UACGAAGGGGGCUAGCGUUGUUCGGAAUCACUGGGCGUAAAGGGCGCGUAGGCGGUCAGCACAAGUCAGUUGUGAAAUCUCCGGGCUUAACUCGGAAAGGUCAACUGAUACUGUGCGACUAGAGUGCAGAAGGGGCAACUGGAAUUCUCGGUGUAGCGGUGAAAUGCGUAGAUAUCGAGAGGAACACCUGCGGCGAAGGCGGGUUGCUGGGCUGACACUGACGCUGAUGCGCGAAAGCCAGGGGAGCGAACGGG